GAUAAACGCUGGCGGCGCACAUAAGACAUGCAAGUCGAACGGACUUAACCAUUAGUUUACUAUCGGAGCGGUUAGUGGCGGACUGGUGAGUAACGCGUAAGCAAUCUGCCUAUCAGAGGGGAAUAACAGUGAGAAAUCACUGCUAAUACCGCAUAAGCUGUGAGUAUCACAUGAUACAAAUAGAAAAGGAGCAAUCCGCUGAUAGAUGAGCUUGCGUCUGAUUAGUUAGUUGGUGAGGUAACGGCCCACCAAGACGAUGAUCAGUAGCCGACCUGAGAGGGUGACCGGCCACAUUGGGACUGAGACACGGCCCAA
Molecule: ribosomal RNA, 315 nt
Filed under: uncultured bacterium
Lineage: Bacteria
Description: bacterial SSU rRNA
Rfam family: Bacterial small subunit ribosomal RNA
Source: RNAcentral